UAUGGGCGUUUUCUUUGUAUCUCGAGGCUGUUGCGAUCCUGCCGCAAAUUUGGCUCCUCGUUAAAUGCGAAAGCACCGUAGAGAGCUUAACUACGCAUUAUAUUGCUUGCCUAGGAGGAUACAGGCUCUGCUAUUUUAUUAACUGGGUUUAUCGUGCACUCACGGAGGCGCAUUACAGAGAAUACAUUGUCUGGAUUUCUGGCCUGGUUCAAGUUCUGUUAUAUGGUGAUUUUUUUUAUUAUUACAUUCGCAGUUUUUUGGAGAGAAAAAACAUGAGCUUGCCUAAGCCGGCUUAACGUGUGAGGCACGACCAUGUUUUAGAACUGAAGCUUUGCAUUAUAGUUGACCUUCUUAGCAAUGCACGACGGGAUUGGCGAAUAAAACAAAGUGGCAAAAGAAACAAUA
Schistocerca gregaria is the source of this 405-nucleotide long non-coding RNA. RefSeq lists it as uncharacterized. The record is from RefSeq and is a predicted model, not a curated record. Lineage: Eukaryota; Metazoa; Arthropoda; Insecta; Orthoptera; Acrididae. The transcript is spliced from 3 exons.